Molecule: ribosomal RNA, 157 nt
Filed under: fungal sp. agrD139
Lineage: Eukaryota; Fungi
Description: 5.8S ribosomal RNA
Rfam family: 5.8S ribosomal RNA
About the family: 5.8S ribosomal RNA (5.8S rRNA) is a component of the large subunit of the eukaryotic ribosome.
Source: RNAcentral
AAACUUUCAACAACGGAUCUCUUGGUUCUGGCAUCGAUGAAGAACGCAGCGAAAUGCGAUAAGUAAUGUGAAUUGCAGAAUUCCGUGAAUCAUCGAAUCUUUGAACGCACAUUGCGCCCGCUAGUAUUCUGGCGGGCAUGCCUGUUCGAGCGUCAUU